Molecule: unclassified non-coding RNA, 250 nt
Filed under: plant metagenome
Description: partial contains small subunit ribosomal RNA, internal transcribed spacer 1, and 5.8S ribosomal RNA
Source: RNAcentral
GUAGGUGAACCUGCGGAAGGAUCAUUAACACGUAUCCAACGUUAAACCCCCCUGUGAACAUUUAUACUUGCUCUCGUGGCCCGCCGAAUUGCAAUCCCUGGUAAAUCAUGUUGAACAGAUUUGAUUGAGGGACCUCAGUUCGGUGAGUUUCGAUUGAGCGAUCGUUGCAAGUGGCCUGGUUUCCCCAAGCAGUCAGUGUCUGAAAGUGUCAUUGAUUGUGUAAGGAUAACGCUUUUCGAUCACCAGAGGC